RNAcentral lists this ribosomal RNA (506 nucleotides) under uncultured bacterium. RNAcentral's name for it is "partial 16S ribosomal RNA". It matches the Rfam family "Bacterial small subunit ribosomal RNA", at positions 29 to 523 of the family's 1533-position model. The record is from RNAcentral.
AGUGAACGCUGGCGGUAGGCCUAACACAUGCAAGUCGAACGGCAGCACAGGAGAGCUUGCUCUCUGGGUGGCGAGUGGCGGACGGGUGAGGAAUACAUCGGAAUCUACUCUGUCGUGGGGGAUAACGUAGGGAAACUUACGCUAAUACCGCAUACGACCUACGGGUGAAAGCAGGGGACCUUCGGGCCUUGCGCGAUUGAAUGAGCCGAUGUCGGAUUAGCUAGUUGGCGGGGGAAAGGCCCACCAAGGCGACGUUCCGUAACUGGGCUGGGAGGAUGAUCAGCCACACUGGAACUGAGACACGGUCCAGACUCCUACGGGAGGCAGCAGUGGGGAAUAUUGGACAAUGGGCGCAAGCCUGAUCCAGCCAUACCGCGUGGGUGAAGAGGGCCUUCGGGUUGUAAAGCCCUUUUGUUGGGAAAGAAAUCCAGCUGGCUAAUACCCGGUUGGGAUGACGGUACCCAAAGAAUAAGCACCGGCUAACUUCGUGCCAGCCGCCGCGGUAA